Molecule: unclassified non-coding RNA, 240 nt
Filed under: soil metagenome
Description: partial contains 5.8S ribosomal RNA, internal transcribed spacer 2, and large subunit ribosomal RNA
Source: RNAcentral
AAGACUAUAGACCUGCGGAGUACCUGCGGAAGGAUCAUUACCGAGUUUACAAAACUCCCAAACCCUUUGUGAACCUUACCUAUCGUUGCUUCGGCGGGACCGCCCCGGCGCCCUCGCGGCCCGGAACCAGGCGCCCGCCGGAGGCCCCAAACCCUCAUGUCUUUAGUGGUUUCCUCCUCUGAGUGACAUAAACAAAUAAAGUAAAAACUUUCAGCAAUGGAUCUCUAGAUCGGAAGAGCA